This 70-nucleotide ribosomal RNA is filed under the name Bacillus licheniformis. Its description in RNAcentral is "partial 23S ribosomal RNA". Lineage: Bacteria; Bacillati; Bacillota; Bacilli; Caryophanales; Bacillaceae. The record is from RNAcentral.
AUAGGUCUGAGGUGGAAGUGUGGCGACACAUGGAGCUGACAGAUACUAAUCGAUCGAGGACUUAACCUAA